Molecule: ribosomal RNA, 468 nt
Filed under: uncultured bacterium
Lineage: Bacteria
Description: partial 16S ribosomal RNA
Rfam family: Bacterial small subunit ribosomal RNA
Source: RNAcentral
GACGAACGCUGGCGGCGUGCUUAACACAUGCAAGUCGAACGGAAAGGCCCUGCUUUUGUGGGGUGCUCGAGUGGCGAACGGGUGAGUAACACGUGAGUAACCUGCCCUUGACUUUGGGAUAACUUCAGGAAACUGGGGCUAAUACCGGCUAGGAGCUCCUGCUGCAUGGGGGGGGUUGGAAAGUUUCGGCGGUUGGGGAUGGACUCGCGGCUUAUCAGCUUGUUGGUGGGGUAGUGGCUUACCAAGGCUUUGACGGGUAGCCGGCCUGAGAGGGUGACCGGCCACAUUGGGACUGAGAUACGGCGCAGACGCCUACGGGAGGCAGCAGUGGGGAAUAUUGCACAAUGGGCGGAAGCCUGAUGCAGCAACGCCGCGUGCGGGAUGACGGCCUUCGGGUUGUAAACCGCUUUCGCCUGUGACGAAGCGUGAGUGACGGUAAUGGGUAAAGAAGCACCGGCUAACUACGUG